Molecule: ribosomal RNA, 447 nt
Filed under: uncultured bacterium
Lineage: Bacteria
Description: bacterial SSU rRNA
Rfam family: Bacterial small subunit ribosomal RNA
Source: RNAcentral
UGGGGAAUAUUGGACAAUGGGCGCAAGCCUGAUCCAGCGACGCCGCGUGUGUGAAGAAGGCCUGCGGGUUGUAAAACUCUUUCGUCGGGGACGAUAAUGACGGUACCCGAAGAAGAAGCUCCGGCUAACUUCGUGCCAGCAGCCGCGGUAAUACGAAGGGAGCUAGCGUUGUUCGGAAUCACUGGGCGUAAAGCGCACGUAGGCGGAUAGUUAAGUCAGGGGUGAAAUCCUGGGGCUCAACCCCAGAACUGCCUUUGAUACUGGCUGUCUCGAGGUCGAGAGAGGUUGGUGGAAUUCCUAGUGUAGAGGUGAAAUUCGUAGAUAUUAGGAAGAACACCAGUGGCGAAGGCGGCCAACUGGCUCGAUACUGACGCUGAGGUGCGAAAGCGUGGGGAGCAAACAGGAUUAGAUACCCUAGUAGUCCCUGAGCGGGCUGGCAAGGCGCAU